RNAcentral lists this ribosomal RNA (1437 nucleotides) under uncultured organism. Its description in RNAcentral is "SSU rRNA". It matches the Rfam family "Bacterial small subunit ribosomal RNA". The record is from RNAcentral.
AUGAACGCUAGCGACAGGCUUAACACAUGCAAGUCGAGGGGCAGCACAGGUAGCAAUACCGGGUGGCGACCGGCGCACGGGUGAGUAACGCGUAUGCAACUUACCUAUCAGAGGGGGAUAACCCGGCGAAAGUCGGACUAAUACCGCAUGAAGCAGGGGCCCCGCAUGGGGAUAUUUGCUAAAGAUUCAUCGCUGAUAGAUAGGCAUGCGUUCCAUUAGGCAGUUGGCGGGGUAACGGCCCACCAAACCGACGAUGGAUAGGGGUUCUGAGAGGAAGGUCCCCCACAUUGGUACUGAGACACGGACCAAACUCCUACGGGAGGCAGCAGUGAGGAAUAUUGGUCAAUGGCCGAGAGGCUGAACCAGCCAAGUCGCGUGAGGGAUGAAGGUUCUAUGGAUCGUAAACCUCUUUUAUAAGGGAAUAAAGUGCGGGACGUGUCCCGUUUUGUAUGUACCUUAUGAAUAAGGAUCGGCUAACUCCGUGCCAGCAGCCGCGGUAAUACGGAGGAUCCGAGCGUUAUCCGGAUUUAUCGGGUUUAAAGGGUGCGUAGGCGGCCUUUUAAGUCAGCGGUGAAAGUCUGUGGCUCAACCAUAGAAUUGCCGUUGAAACUGGGGGGCUUGAGUAUGUUUGAGGCAGGCGGAAUGCGUGGUGUAGCGGUGAAAUGCAUAGAUAUCACGCAGAACCCCGAUUGCGAAGGCAGCCUGCUAAGCCAUGACUGACGCUGAUGCACGAAAGCGUGGGGAUCAAACAGGAUUAGAUACCCUGGUAGUCCACGCAGUAAACGAUGAUCACUAGCUGUUUGCGAUACACAGUAAGCGGCACAGCGAAAGCGUUAAGUGAUCCACCUGGGGAGUACGCCGGCAACGGUGAAACUCAAAGGAAUUGACGGGGGCCCGCACAAGCGGAGGAACAUGUGGUUUAAUUCGAUGAUACGCGAGGAACCUUACCCGGGUUUGAACGCAUUCGGACCGAGGUGGAAACACCUUUUCUAGCAAUAGCCGUUUGCGAGGUGCUGCAUGGUUGUCGUCAGCUCGUGCCGUGAGGUGUCGGCUUAAGUGCCAUAACGAGCGCAACCCUUGCCACUAGUUACUAACAGGUGAUGCUGAGGACUCUGGUGGGACUGCCAGCGUAAGCUGCGAGGAAGGCGGGGAUGACGUCAAAUCAGCACGGCCCUUACAUCCGGGGCGACACACGUGUUACAAUGGCGUGGACAAAGGGAGGCCACCUGGCGACAGGGAGCGAAUCCCCAAACCACGUCUCAGUUCGGAUCGGAGUCUGCAACCCGACUCCGUGAAGCUGGAUUCGCUAGUAAUCGCGCAUCAGCCAUGGCGCGGUGAAUACGUUCCCGGGCCUUGUACACACCGCCCGUCAAGCCAUGGGAGCCGGGGGUACCUGAAGUCCGUAACCGCGAGGAUCGGCCUAGGGUAAAACUGGAG